This 492-nucleotide ribosomal RNA is filed under the name uncultured bacterium. RNAcentral describes it as "partial 16S ribosomal RNA". It matches the Rfam family "Bacterial small subunit ribosomal RNA", at positions 29 to 507 of the family's 1533-position model. The record is from RNAcentral.
AGUGAACGCUGGCGGUAGGCCUAACACAUGCAAGUCGAACGGCAGCACAGUAAGAGCUUGCUCUUACGGGUGGCGAGUGGCGGACGGGUGAGGAAUACAUCGGAAUCUACUUUUUCGUGGGGGAUAACGUAGGGAAACUUACGCUAAUACCGCAUACGACCUACGGGUGAAAGCAGGGGAUCUUCGGACCUUGCGCGAUUGAAUGAGCCGAUGUCGGAUUAGCUAGUUGGCGGGGUAAAGGCCCACCAAGGCGACGAUCCGUAGCUGGUCUGAGAGGAUGAUAGGCCACACUGGAACUGAGACACGGUCCAGACUCCUACGGGAGGCAGCAGUGGGGAAUAUUGGACAAUGGGCGCAAGCCUGAUCCAGCCAUACCGAGUGGGUGAAGAAGGCCUUCGGGUUGUAAAGACCUUUUGUUGGGAAAGAAAAGCAGCAGGUUAAUACCCAGCUGUUCUGACGGUACCCAAAGAAUAAGCACCGGCUAACUUCGUG